CACCCUGCUUACGUCCCCCCCCCCCACCUGCUUGAGGGCUGGGCUUAUACUUGCUACAUCUCUGCCUGACUGCAGGCCAGAGGCCUGGUUGUUUACUGCCCCACCCUGCGUGAGGGCCGGGCUUAUAACUUGGUACUGCUCUGUCCUGACUGCUAGCCAGAGCCCAAACUGUUUGGGGCCCUUUCCUGCUUAAAGGCUGGGGCCCCUCGCAUACUGCUAAUUCCCCCUCUCUUUGUUUUGAGCAUACUCUGGCAGAUCAGACUGCGAAGAGGCAGGGCCUCCCUGAAAGGCGGAUGCGGAGGGGCGGCCAUGACUGCUUACAGGGGACAUCUGCCAUCUAGCUUCUCUUUGAUACCUGUGGCUAUUUCCCCAAGUGGCAUCCUUUAACCUUGUCAGUGUGUGUACAUAGCUGAGAAAAAAAAAUUGUGUGGGAUGCUGUCGCCCAUUGUAUAGUCUAAUCUCAUCUUAUUAAGUUUUACAUGCUGAGGGCAUGUGCACUCUGUGUAUAAGUUCUCUCCCCCUAAGAUAACAUACCCUCUUCCUUUCAGUCUCUGCUUGGAGUGGUAACUCUCAUUCAGGGAUAGCCAGUAAGUGGCACUAGCGGGGACAGUAGUGAUGGAAUUAACAAUGGCAUCGGAAGCAGCAUUCAGCUCAGACCUGACAGUUUUGCACAGGCAGGGGCACUCACUUCAUGCUCAGGCACCCAUUCAAGCUUUUCUUAGUUCAACUGCCUUCCCCAACGUGUGUGUACUUCCGAGAAAACAGAAGCCCAACAAUCUUGAGGAGAUGGACUGCAGCCCUUCUGGAAGCAUCAUGCACCUCAACUCUUUAAGUAAUACUGGGUACAUGAUUCUGAAAGUGGAUUUUCUCUUACCUGCCCUGGGAGACCUUGAGAAUAUAAAACAGCAGCUCCUGAAUGAGGUAGAAGAAAUACUAAAGGGGAGUUUUCCCAUAGGGUCAUUCCAGCUGAAAUGGGUCAGCUAUGAACUGUGACGAGACCAGACCAAACCACCUAGCACUAACAUGGAGUUCUCUGAAGAUGGGAAAAAUGCUCCUUUUGGACAGUGGAACCAGAAUGUGUAUGGGCAGAUCAUAGAUAAAAAAGAAAGUUAACAUUUUAGGCAGGGAAACAGGGAUGUAGAAUAAAUGUAGGUAAUUGCUGAAGAAAGGUGCAAGGAAAUUAGAUAGUCUCUUUUGUGGAGGACAAGGAUGAGGGAAUUCUCAACCACUGUAUCACCAGAACAUUAUUUGUUUUGCCCCAGUGCCCAGAAUCCCCACUCAGGAUUAGGCCCCACCUUGUGUUGGGCAAUGUAGAGGUAUAUUAAGGCAGGCUCAAGCCCAGAGAGCUUCCAGUCUAGAUAAGGACAAGACACCAUUUACAAGAGAGGUAAAUGUAGAACAGAACAGAGAUGGUAGCAUCAAGGUGGUGACAAGAAAUAGGAGAACAAAGUUGCAUACAUUCACUGCAUGUAUAGUUUGAAGGCUUCAAGGCCUUUAAAACCCUGUAUAUAAAAAUUACAGUUUUAAAAAGAAACUUUUACCAAAUCUAUGCCCAAGACAAAGUUUUCCAUGACACAAAUCCAGAGUGGGAGGGAUUUUCCACUUUUUAUGUUCUCUUGUAAUUCAUAUCUAUGGAAUGAUAAAUAUAACAUUACCAAGAA
Molecule: long non-coding RNA, 1661 nt
Organism: Mauremys reevesii (Reeves's turtle)
Lineage: Eukaryota; Metazoa; Chordata; Testudines; Geoemydidae
Exons: 3
Source: RefSeq, a predicted model, not a curated record